GACGAACGCUGGCGGCGUGCUUAACACAUGCAAGUCGAACGGUGAAGGGAUCAGCUUGCUGGUUCUGGAUGAGUGGCGAACGGGUGAGUAACACGUGAGUAACCUGCCCCCUUCUUCUGGAUAACCGCAUGAAAGUGUGGCUAAUACGGGAUAUUCUGCGCCUGCUGCAUGGUGGGUGUGGGAAAGAUAUUGUUUCGGUGGGGGAUGGGCUCGCGGCCUAUCAGCUUGUUGGUGGGGUGAUGGCCUACCAAGGCGGUGACGGGUAGCCGGCCUGAGAGGGUGGACGGUCACACUGGGACUGAGACACGGCCCAGACUCCUACGGGAGGCAGCAGUGGGGAAUAUUGCACAAUGGGCGCAAGCCUGAUGCAGCGACGCCGCGUGAGGGAUGGAGGCCUUCGGGUUGUGAACCUCUUUCGCCAGUGAAGCAGGCCUGUCCCUUGUGGGUGGGUUGACGGUAGCUGGAUAAGAAGCGCCGGCUAAGUACGUG
This 489-nucleotide ribosomal RNA is filed under the name uncultured bacterium. RNAcentral's name for it is "partial 16S ribosomal RNA". It matches the Rfam family "Bacterial small subunit ribosomal RNA", at positions 28 to 507 of the family's 1533-position model. The record is from RNAcentral.